AGAUUAAUAGUUUAAAAAAAAUAUUUAAUUUGCAUUUAAAUGAUAUUAUAAAUUAAUUUAAUUUU
Molecule: transfer RNA, 65 nt
Filed under: Microplitis manilae
Lineage: Eukaryota; Metazoa; Arthropoda; Insecta; Hymenoptera; Braconidae
Description: tRNA-Ala
Source: RNAcentral